Molecule: long non-coding RNA, 1050 nt
Organism: Heterocephalus glaber (naked mole-rat)
Lineage: Eukaryota; Metazoa; Chordata; Mammalia; Rodentia; Bathyergidae
Source: Ensembl
UAAUAGGUGCCCCACAUUGAACUAAGUCUCAACUAAAGUCUCAACUUUCCAGAACAGUGGCACAGGGUAGGUAUUGGUGCCAUUUUCAAUUUGCAAGGGAGAAAAGAUUUACAUAAGUUGUUGUAAUUAUUCCAAGACCAAACAGUAAAUGACAAUGGAAUUUAAAUUCCCACCUCUGUUGGCUAGCAUCUGAGGUUCCAAUGACUCUUGUAUUUUGCUUUGCCUUCCACCCGCAGCCAAAAUUCUGUGUACCUGUAAUUACACUGAGAGUUAUAUUGAGGAUGGUUCUGUUGUGCUUUAUCAAGGUGCCUGAGGCCUAGAUGAAGAGAUUGGCAUGGAGUGCCUUGACUUGGCCCUUCACUUGUGCCGAGCCCUGGCUGCAAGUUCAGGGACUCUCCGCCCUCCACCUUCCCACCCAGCCUGUCCUGCUGUCCCUGGGACUCACUUUGUAGCUCAAGCUGGCCUCUAACUUGCGAUCCUCUUUCGUCAGCCUCCUGAAUGCUGGGUGUGUACCACCACGCCUACUUUAUGGUUACGUAUGUACAUGUCAAACAAAGUUAUAGAAGAUUAAGGUUCACUUUAUACACACAAAAACUGAAAUAGUUGGGCUCAUCCCUUAGCUUCCUCCCCACCAAAAAGGCUGCUGUGCUGUUUUUUGAGUGGCGGAAGUUACCUUGUGAGCAGAAAGAGCUGCUCUCCUCAGCAGUCUGGUGAGCCACGGUGUUUGUUUCCACAGGGGUUAUGCUAACCUCUGUGCCUGCUGAACAGAUGAGGACCUCCUUAGGUGCUGGAGCACUGUGUUGUACAGCGUUCCCUGCGGGAUGGUGCUCAUGCCGGCAUGAUCUCCCAAGCGAAAUCUGGGACAGAAGUCAUGACAGGAUUGUGAAGAAGGCCGACAGUGGACAGUGUAAAUGAGGAGAGAAUUUCCUCUUCAGGAGGAGUAAAGGCAGCAGGAAAUGGUUUUCUAACUCUGUUAGCAGAGUUUUAUAGCCAGGAAGAUUACAACCACUUUCUACCACCAUUCUCACCCUAAUGAGGCUCUGAACUGAC